Molecule: ribosomal RNA, 253 nt
Filed under: uncultured bacterium
Lineage: Bacteria
Description: partial 16S ribosomal RNA
Rfam family: Bacterial small subunit ribosomal RNA
Source: RNAcentral
AACGUAGGACGCAAGCGUUAUCCGGAGUUACUGGGCGUAAAGCGCGAGCAGGCGGUUCGACAAGUUCGCUGUGAAAGCUCCCGGCUCAACCGGGCGAGGCCAGUGGAAACUAUCGAGCUGGAGGGCAGUAGAGGCAGGCGGAAUUCCGGGUGGAGUGGUGAAAUGCGUAGAGAUCCGGAGGAACACCAGAGGCGAAGGCGGCCUGCUGGGCUGCACCUGACGCUGAGCCGCGAAAGCCAGGGGAGCGAACGGG